RNAcentral lists this ribosomal RNA (602 nucleotides) under uncultured bacterium. RNAcentral's name for it is "bacterial SSU rRNA". The stretch from base 1 to 522 matches the Rfam family "Bacterial small subunit ribosomal RNA", at positions 338 to 873 of the family's 1533-position model. The record is from RNAcentral.
CCUACGGGAGGCAGCAGUGGGGAAUUUUCCGCAAUGGGCGAAAGCCUGACGGAGCAAUACCGCGUGAGGGAGGAAGGCUCUUGGGUCGUAAACCUCUUUUCUCAGGGAAGAAGAAAGUGACGGUACCUGAGGAAUAAGCAUCGGCUAACUCCGUGCCAGCAGCCGCGGUAAUACGGAGGAUGCAAGCGUUAUCCGGAAUGAUUGGGCGUAAAGGGUCCGCAGGUGGCUGUGUAAGUCUGCUGUUAAAGAGUCAUGCUUAACAUGAUAAGAGCAGUGGAAACUACAUAGCUAGAGUACGUUCGGGGCAGAGGGAAUUCCUGGUGUAGCGGUGAAAUGCGUAGAUAUCAGGAAGAACACCGGUGGCGAAAGCGCUCUGCUAGGCCGUAACUGACACUGAGGGACGAAAGCUAGGGGAGCGAAUGGGAUUAGAUACCCCAGUAGUCCUAGCCGUAAACGAUGGAUACUAGGCGUGGCUUGUAUCGACCCGAGCCGUGCCGUAGCUAACGCGUUAAGUNUCCCGCCUGGGGNGACGCGACGCGAGUAGUAGAACACAAGAAGUAGACGCGUGAGACGUGACCGACGGACGACGACGAGGGAGGAGG